CUCAACUCGGGGCAGCAGCAGGAGCUCUGACUGCCCUUGGGUCCUGUCCCCAUGCAGCAGCGGCAGCAGCUCUUCACUGCCCAUGGGUCCUGUCCCCAUGCUAUUCCAUACUAUUCUCUAAAUAAAAAAGCACUACUGCCAGUCCUUGAGAGUCCAAGAAAUCUUUCUUUCGACUCUUCGGCUCGCCAUCCCCGCAUCAUGACCACCAGGUCUAGAAGUCAGAAUUCUAACAUCAAGAUGUUGACAGAGCAGUAUUCCUUCUGGAGCUUUCAGAAGACAACCUGGGAACCCGUUUCCUUGCCUUUUCCAGCGUCCAGAGGCUGUCUGUCUUCCUUGGCUCAUGGCUCCUUCCUGCAUUUUCAAAAGAUGGCCUUAGCUGCAGAGAGAUGCCUUGCUCAAAAGCGUGACCUACCUGGGGUACUCACAUCCAUUGACUGAUCACGGCGGGGCGAUAAAGACCUGACAUUUUUGGCUCACUAGGGGGCAACUCCAGUGGGCCAUAUUGGCUCUGGAGCUCCCUGUGAGUUGCGCUGAGGCCUUCAGACCUGCAUCACAGCUCAACUUAUCCCUCUGUUCAAUUGCUUCCUCCUCCUUGCUUCCACAGGUGUUGAUACCUAAUAAAUAUACUGCAUGUCA
Molecule: long non-coding RNA, 636 nt
Filed under: Equus caballus (horse)
Lineage: Eukaryota; Metazoa; Chordata; Mammalia; Perissodactyla; Equidae
Description: lncRNA (ENSECAG00000052207.1)
Source: RNAcentral